GGCUAAAACUCUGGAGAGCGGCCCGCCAUGGCGCGGGGCCCACCGAAGGGGCGUGCGGGAAUACCUUCCCGUUAUCUCUCAGGUACCAAGGACAGAGGGGUAGGC
Molecule: non-coding RNA, 105 nt
Filed under: Duganella sp. Root198D2
Lineage: Bacteria; Pseudomonadati; Pseudomonadota; Betaproteobacteria; Burkholderiales; Oxalobacteraceae
Also listed under: 1 other name
Description: Glycine riboswitch aptamer
Rfam family: Glycine riboswitch aptamer
About the family: This family represents the bacterial glycine riboswitch.
Source: Rfam by way of RNAcentral